AACGAACGCUGGCGGCAUGCCUAACACAUGCAAGUCGAACGAACCCUUCGGGGUUAGUGGCGCACGGGUGCGUAACGCGUGGGAAUCUGCCCUUUGCUUCGGUAUCACUCAGUGAAACUUGUGCUAAUACAGGUUGAUGUCUUCGGACCAAAGAUCUUUCGGCGAGGGGUGGGCCCGCGUAGGAUUAGGGAGUUGGUGGGGGAAAGGCCUACCAAGCCGACGAUCCUUAGCUGGUCUGGGAGGAGGACCAGCCACACUGGGGCUGCGACACGGCCCAGUCUCGGAGGGAGGGGAGCGGAGUGGUAUAUUGGACAAGGAGCGCAAGCGUGGUCCAGCAACGCCGCGGGAGAGAGGAAUGCGGUCGGAUCGUAAAUCUCUUUGAGCAGGGAUGAUAAUGACGGUAACGGGAGAAGAAGCACCGGCUAACUCCGUG
This 433-nucleotide ribosomal RNA is filed under the name uncultured bacterium. RNAcentral describes it as "partial 16S ribosomal RNA". It matches the Rfam family "Bacterial small subunit ribosomal RNA", at positions 29 to 507 of the family's 1533-position model. The record is from RNAcentral.